This 300-nucleotide unclassified non-coding RNA is filed under the name uncultured Sordariales. Its description in RNAcentral is "partial contains 5.8S ribosomal RNA, internal transcribed spacer 2, and large subunit ribosomal RNA". The stretch from base 1 to 102 matches the Rfam family "5.8S ribosomal RNA", at positions 53 to 154 of the family's 154-position model. Lineage: Eukaryota; Fungi; Ascomycota; Sordariomycetes; Sordariales. The record is from RNAcentral.
AUGCGAUAAGUAAUGUGAAUUGCAGAAUUCAGUGAAUCAUCGAAUCUUUGAACGCACAUUGCGCCCGCUAGUAUUCUGGCGGGCAUGCCUGUUCGAGCGUCAUUUUAACCAUCAAGCUAUUGGGCCCAGGCUUGUGUUGGGGACCUGCGGCUGCCGCAGCCCCCUAAAAACAGUGGCGGUCUCGCUGUCAUACCGAGCGCAGUAGUGAAUUCUUCGUUCUGGUCGUGGCAGUGGGUGCUAGCCGUGAAACAUCCUUCUAAGGUUGACCUCGGAUCAGGUAGGAAUACCCGCUGAACUUAA